RNAcentral lists this ribosomal RNA (350 nucleotides) under Sceloporus binocularis. RNAcentral describes it as "partial small subunit ribosomal RNA". It matches the Rfam family "Bacterial small subunit ribosomal RNA", at positions 847 to 1367 of the family's 1533-position model. The record is from RNAcentral. Lineage: Eukaryota; Metazoa; Chordata; Lepidosauria; Squamata; Phrynosomatidae.
UGAUAUUACAAUACUAAACUAUCCGCCAGAAAACUACGAGCGAAAAGCUUAAAACUCAAAGGACUUGGCGGUGCUCCACACCGACUUAGAGGAGCCUGUCCUAUAAUCGAUACCCCACGCUAAACCUUACCAAUCUUUGCCAGCCUAUAUACCGCCGUCGUCAACCUACCUCGUGAGAGAAAAACAGUAAGUGUAAAAGUUCAGUAACUAAAACGUCAGGUCAAGGUGUAGCUUAUAGAAUGGUAGAGAUGGGCUACAUUUUUUAAGAUAAAACACACGGCAUGGUACUAUGAAACCAAUACCUAAAGGAGGAUUUAAUAGUAAAACUAACGAGAAAAUUAAUUUUAAAC